AGAGAUGUGUGAUGACGCAUAUCAAUAAGCGGAGGAAAAGAAACUAACUAAGGAUUCCCUCAGUAACGGCGAGUGAAGCGGGAAGAGCUCAAAUUUGAAAUCUUCAAGGUUCUACCUUGACGAAUUGUAGUUUAUAGAAGUGUUUUCUGUUAGUAGAGUGGCAAAAGUUCUUUGGAAUAGGACAUCAUAGAGGGUGAGAAUCCCGUAUUUGGUCAUUCUUUCUAGCUUUGUGAUACACUUUCAACGAGUCGGAUUGUUUGGGAAUGCAGUCCAAAAUGGGUGGUAAAUUUCAUCUAAAGCUAAAUAUUGGCGAGAGACCGAUAGCGAACAAGUACCGUGAGGGAAAGAUGAAAAGAACUUUGAAAAGAGAGUUAAACAGUACGUGAAAUUGUCAAAAGGGAAGCGUUUGACACCAGUGUUGUUUUUCCGAAAAUCAAUUACGAAUGUUUUGUUUUUAAGAAGUUAUGACUUCAUCGGCUUGCUUCUUUCUUUACGAAACUUUCUUAAUGCACUUUUCGGUUAACAAGUCAACAUCAAUUUCUUUUGUUGUAAAAGGGUACGAGGAAGGUGGCUUUCUUUUCGGAGAAAGUGUUUAUAGCCUUGUACCUCUGCAAUCGGAGAGAUUGAGGUCUGCAGCGUAGAUCCUUCGGGGUUAGAUACAUUUGUGCUAAGUUAUAGCUUUUCAUAGACAACUUGUUGACUAUGUUAAGUCUUGUAGCUUACUCGCUUAUGCUAUUUUACCUACGCUUAGGAUGUUGAAGAUGUAGCACAUCAU
Molecule: ribosomal RNA, 775 nt
Filed under: uncultured Neocallimastigales
Lineage: Eukaryota; Fungi; Neocallimastigomycota; Neocallimastigomycetes; Neocallimastigales
Description: partial large subunit ribosomal RNA
Rfam family: Eukaryotic large subunit ribosomal RNA
Source: RNAcentral